This 257-nucleotide ribosomal RNA is filed under the name uncultured bacterium. RNAcentral's name for it is "partial 16S ribosomal RNA". It matches the Rfam family "Bacterial small subunit ribosomal RNA", at positions 524 to 776 of the family's 1533-position model. The record is from RNAcentral.
UACGUAGGGACCAAGCGUUGUUCGGAUUUACUGGGCGUAAAGGGCGCGUAGGCGGCAAUUCAAGUCAGCUGUGAAAUCUCCGGGCUUAACUCGGAACGGUCAGCUGAUACUGCUUUGCUAGAGUGCAGGAAGGGGCAAUCGGAAUUCUUGGUGUAGCGGUGAAAUGCGUAGAUAUCGAGAGGAACACCUGCGGCGAAGGCGGGUUGCUGGGCUGAUACUGACGGCUGAGGCGACGGAAAGCCAGGGGAGCGAACGGG